This is a long non-coding RNA of Mauremys reevesii (Reeves's turtle), 762 nucleotides long. RefSeq lists it as uncharacterized. NCBI's taxonomy places the organism in Eukaryota, Metazoa, Chordata, Testudines, Geoemydidae. The record is from RefSeq and is a predicted model, not a curated record. The transcript has 5 exons.
GAGUUCUAUAGCAAAAGCAGGAGGUGAUCAUCUAAUUAAAAUCUGCAAGAUAUCACCACCACCAAGCUACUCAAAGGGGAGAGCCUGACUGAAGAGUAACCAGCCAGCCUGUGGUUUGCAUUAGCUCCACUACAACACCCAAACCUUUGUCAGUCAUUGGGUCCCAGAAUAGAGUCCCCCAUACUGAUGAAAGGGAAUUUCAAAAUGUCAAUUUCCCGGAGAUCGGAAAUUCAGCCUCCAGACCAGUUCUACCUGGACAAUAACACGUCUCCAUCUUCGUCACUGCCCCUGCUGGGUUCAGACUAAUUAUCAGAGGCAUAAUGCUGUAUUUUAUUAUCUUCAAAUGGCAGACAGAAAUGGGAUUGAUGUGAUGUAUGACUAUUUUCUUCCAAAGUGAAUACUUUUUUGCAAAUCUCUGGUAUGAUAAAUUGUGCAAAAAAUUGUUGUUUUCCAAAUAGGAGUGCAUUGUUAAAACAGCAUUUAUCUACUUGACACAUUGCAUUUUUAUCAAUCCUUAACUGUCACAACAUUUUGUAAUGAAGGCAUUCUCUGGUCACUAUGUGUUGAUUAAACACAAUAUGGUGCUCAACAUUUUUUAUUAUAGAUAAGGAAAAUGUCUCCUCUCUAGCAUAUAUAUGAAUUGGAUGCAGUAUAAUGUUAGAUUAAUACAUCACAUUUCAGAUUAGCUAUAAAAAUUUCACUGGCUAUUGCAAACUAAGUGAUUUUUUCAUCUGUACAAUUUUGGUAGUAUAAAGGUAAUGU